This 3470-nucleotide long non-coding RNA is filed under the name Sus scrofa (pig). RNAcentral's name for it is "lncRNA (ENSSSCG00000056102.1)". Lineage: Eukaryota; Metazoa; Chordata; Mammalia; Artiodactyla; Suidae. The record is from RNAcentral.
UGGGUUAUGUACUAUUAAAAUUAAUCUCAUCUCUUUCUUUUUGCUUUUUUAAUGUGGCUAGUAGAAAAGUCUAAAAUUACAUAUGCAAUUUUAAUGUCAUAUUUAGUUGACAUUUCUGUUGGCGAGUGCUGCAUGAGACUUCUGUCCAUUUCUAUUUCCUUCUAUAGAGGGUGUCCCAGGCAGCGUGGGGAAGGGCAGCAGGAAGGCACACAGUCUUGGGAACUAGAAGUUUUGGCAUACUGAGUCUGCAGUGCCUGUGGCAGCUGGAGCAAUGAGGUGGAUGCUGGGAAAUCCGAGUGUGCUGAGAGGACUGAGCUGGAGACAGAGCUUAGGAAAUCCUGGCCCUGUGCAAAGAAGAUAGAGAAUAGAGCAGACAGCCGAAGAGAACACUAUAGGGACAGCACUUAAGGACUGAGUCUUUGAAGUGCACCUAUUGAAAUAGAAACUGAAAGGACACUAUGUGGAGCCUCAGGAAGGGAGAGUUCAAGAAGGAGAAAAUGGUUGGCGAUACCUGAACGUGACCUUAGAUACUUCUCCUGUCUCUUAGUUUCCAGAUUUAACAAAGUCACCAAAUUGUUUUCCUCAAUUCAUUCCUCAGAACCACACUGUUUAAAGCUUUCCAUGUAUCUGCUUCCUCGCACGAGACUGCCCUUGUCAUCCCAAGGUCUGACACAGUGCCUGACAUUCAGAAGGUGCGCAAUAAUUAUAUACAGACCUGAACUGCUCUCUCAGUAGAUGAGUUUGAAUUUGGAAUUUAAUAGACUAAGACUGAACAAAGACAGUGAUAAUGUCAGCUAAGGAGUAACGUAAACAGAGUUAGUGGCCACAUGGGCAGAUCUGAGAGCUGCCUUGCUAUGACUGUGUUCAGAUCCUUACUGGUCCUACCUAGGUGGCGGCCUUCAGAGAGGAAGGCUACCCUGUGAUAACACUCGCUCAUGCUCUCAGUUCAUCCAAACGACUUUUCAGCUCUAGAGUUCUGUUCCCUUUCUCUGGAAUGUGAUGACCAGCACGGUCUCACUUUGCUGUACUAAAAACCAUUACCUUGAUGGAUAUAAAGAAAAUUAUAAGUCAUUUUUGGUAUAUGAAGAAACUUCAAAUGUUUCUCUCGUUAGGACUCUUUAACAAGAUGUGGAAAAAUAAGGAGGUACACAGGAAGAGUUAACCUUCAAACCUACAGUUCCAAAUACCCCAUGAUUUGGAAUGCUUACUUAUAAAUCAGCUCUGGGUUCCUCGCCUGGAGAGGCCAAGAUGGCAGAAAGUCUGAAACCAUGAUAAAGCUUCCAAAGCAGCCUAACCAAAGACCCUUUAUCAUAGAAUCAUUUAAAAUAGACACAUAGUAGCUUCCCAACUCUCUCUAGUUCAAUGUACUUUCUUCCUUUACCAAAAACGUUCUGAUUUUUUACUCAAAAAAGUAAGUGGCAUGAAUGGAAAGGACAGGAAAGCAUCCAUUUUCACCUGCUUAGCUGUUCCUCAUUGUUCCAACACCUCCAGCUCACACCUUCUUUCAGAGUCUGCACUAUCUGGCCAUUCGGAAGUAGGCCCUCUUGACCUACAGCUGCUCCCUCUUGGCUCUUCCCUCAGCCUUCCCCUAGAAGCUGGAUGGAGGGUGCAGGAAGCUAGAAGAGGUCAGGGGAAGGCAGACAAGGCAAAGCAGUCUUGCAGAGCAGUCUGCUUGGCUGAGCUGACAAGGGAAAGGCUCAGGACUCUGGUGGUCUGGGAUGAGUCAGCCGAGACAGAAAUGUCCUCUGAUGUUGCUCCUUCUACCCCACACUGCCUCUGCCUCCUGCAUCCCGCCCUUCUCUCUGCUGGCUCGCGCUCCUCCUCCAAGCUGAGGACCACAUCUUCUGUUUCCACUUAGUAUUUGCCACUGGGCACAGGGGCACUUAAGGAGUAUAACCUUUGAGGAUGAAGCCUGAGAGAUGCAGAGAGGAGCCUCAACCCAUUUUGCUAAAGCUCUAUUCUGACAAUUUGGGCAAGAUAAUAAAGGCGGGGGCCGGGGAAAGCCAGGGGCACCCUGGAACCCAAGGACAAGCUGGAGUGGAUAGUUAGCUGGUAUGCAUCAAUACAGCACAAAGGAGUCUCAGAACUGGUCACUCCCCAUGCCAUACUCAUUGUUUAAUCUUUAUCAAACUACCCUUACUUAUGGCCACGGUAGUGUGGACUCUAAUACAUUCGCUAGGAAUCCGUAAGUGCUGCUGCCAAAGGCGCCUAAGAAAGCAGAACUUUUGCCAGAUGCCAGGAUCUCCUCUGCAGCCAUCUGUGCUUCAACUCUAAACUCAUGGCUCUUCCCUGAAAUCAUCCCAUCCUGGGCCAAAGGUAAGUCCAGUUUCGCAUAGCUCUAGGAGCCAGCUCGGAGAGAGCAAGACCUUCAGGAGUUCAACCAAACACUGAAGACCUUGAUCUCCAUCUAGAAAAGACUUACGGUCUAGUGGACAGAUACACUGAAAAUGUAUGAAAUGAACUUAAGGAAAAACACUGGGCUGUUUCAAAUAAAGCACUCAGUUCCCAAUAAAGAUGGCAGAUGGAACACAAAUAUUUAACUUCCACUCCCUCACUGAAACCCCCCUAUUGUAAAGGGUCUUUUUUGGGGGGGGUCAUUAUUAUUUUCAAAUUUAAACUGUAAGAAAAGAGACUAUUAUAGCAACAAAAAUUUGAAAACUAGAAAGCAAAAACCCACUGUUAAUUUGGAAAAAACAUUAAGAAACAAAACUUGAGGAGUUCCCAUCAUAGCUCAGUGGUUAACAAACCCAACUAGUAUCCAUGAGGAGGAGAAUUUCAUCCCUGGCCUUGCUCAGUGGGUUAAGGAUCUGGCAUAGCUGUGGCUAUGGUGUAGGCCAGCAGCUAUGGCUCUGGUUCAACCCCUAGCCUGGGAACCUCCGUAUACCACGGAUGAGGCCCUAAAAAGACAGAAGCCAAAAAAAAGAAAGAAACAAAACUUGAAUUAUGGAAAGCCAAGCAGCAAUACAGUUUAUCCUGCAUAACCCCUAAAAUUUCAGGAACUGGAAGAGUUAGGACCAGAGGUGGGGCCCUAAACAGAAAAGUCAGUUGAAAGUCUGUUUAAGAAAUAAAUAUCCAAGGAGUUCCCUUAGUGGCUCAGCAAUUAACGAACCUGACGAGGAUCCAUGAGGUUGUGGGUUUGAUCCCUGCCCUCACUCAUGGGUUAACGAUCCGGCGUUGCCGUGAGCUGUGGUGUAGGUUGCAGACACGGCUCGGAUCACGUGUUGCUGUGGCUCUGGCGUAGACCGGUGGCUACAGCUCCAAUUCGACCCCUAGCCUGGGAACCUCCAUAUGCCGUGGGAGCGGCCCAAGAAAUAGCAACGACAACAACAAAAGACAAAAAAAAUAAAAAAAUAAAUUUCUGUUUAUCCCCUGAGGCCCACUGGUCAUUAUGCCAGACACAAAACCAGGAGGAACAUUCUCAUUUUAAUUAUAAAAAAUCUGUACGUAGCCACAACACUCAUAAAAUCCCC